CAACAGAAAGGUGGGGAGGAGAGAUGCAACACUCGAUCUACUUCGGUUGCAACAAAAGGUCAAGGUAAAUUGAAACACUUUAAACAUUCUACUGAAACACUUGAAAAAAAAUAUCUGAAAAUGCACUUAAAAACCAUAGCAACUAUAUGCAAACAUCCAAAAUAAACACAUUCAACUUCUGAAACAAUCCAAAAUAUACUAUUCCAACAUGCGAAAACAAUUACAACAUAUGC
Molecule: long non-coding RNA, 233 nt
Filed under: Sorghum bicolor (sorghum)
Lineage: Eukaryota; Viridiplantae; Streptophyta; Magnoliopsida; Poales; Poaceae
Description: long non-coding RNA (SBIC_LNC002035)
Source: RNAcentral